CCUACGGGGGGCAGCAGUGAGGAAUAUUGGUCAAUGGCCGAGAGGCUGAACCAGCCAAGUCGCGUGAGGGAAGACGGCCCUACGGGUUGUAAACCUCUUUUGUCGGGGAGCAAAGCGAACCACGUGUGGUUCAUUGUGAGUACCCGAUGAAAAAGCAUCGGCUAACUCCGUCCCAGCAGCCGCGGUAAUCCGGAGGAUGCGAGCGUUAUCCGGAUUUAUUGGGUUUAAAGGGUGCGUAGGCGGUGGGGCAAGUCAGCGGUAAAAUUGCGGGGCUCAACCCCGUACUGCCGUUGAAACUGCAUCCCUUGAGUGCGCGAGAGGUAUGCGGAAUGCGGGGUGUAGCGGUGAAAUGCAUAGAUAUCACGAAGAACUCCGAUUGCGAAGGCAGCAUACCGGCGCGCAACUGACGCUCAUGCACGAAAGCGUGGGUAUCGAACAGGAUUAGAUACCCGAGUAGUC
Molecule: ribosomal RNA, 459 nt
Filed under: uncultured bacterium
Lineage: Bacteria
Description: partial 16S ribosomal RNA
Rfam family: Bacterial small subunit ribosomal RNA
Source: RNAcentral